RNAcentral lists this long non-coding RNA (1528 nucleotides) under Anas platyrhynchos platyrhynchos (common mallard). RNAcentral describes it as "lncRNA (ENSAPLG00000029818.1)". The record is from RNAcentral. Lineage: Eukaryota; Metazoa; Chordata; Aves; Anseriformes; Anatidae.
UUGAAAUAUAACAAAAUAUUUGCAUAGCAUUAUUAGAUAAAUGGGAGCUGACUGGAGGCAGAGCUCAUUUGGAAAUCCGAUAUGAAAAUUCAUUUAAAAUGAAAGAAUAUGGAAGCUUAAGUUUAUGGUAAUGGACUGAUGGCAGGGAGUAGCUAAUGACUCCCAACAAACAUGUCUCAGCCACGAGAUCUCCUUCCCCUGCGUGGCUGCUGCCCUCCGCACGCUCCUGCCUUCGCUGGCUCCUGUGCAGAGGAUGGGAGCGCCUGACGCUGAUGCUGUUAGCAAAACCCUGACUUUUAGGGGUGAAAUGGCUGUCAGGUCUGAGCCGGCCCGGGAUGGAGAAGGGCAGAGCCAGCAGGGCACAGGGACGGGGCAGCUGGGCACGGGAAGGGAUUUAGAUGGGUUUAAUUCCCAUCUCCCGAUGCUAAAGCAGAUUGAAAUGAAGCGACUGAAAAGCUGCAGAUGAGAGGUGGGGAAAUUAAUAAUGUCGUAGUAAUGGUAGUAAUGAGUGGCUGUGCAUGUGCUAAUUAGUUUGGAGCCCUCUCUCCAACUUCAUCGUGGUCCGCGUGCCAGUUUAAUCAGCUCGUCGCGAGCCGAGCAGCGGCAAGGAGCUCUCAGGUGAGCUCGGGCUCUGCUGCCCACCUGAGCUGAGUUCUGCUCAUUAACGACCGAGGGCUUCAGCAGGAGCUGCAGGGAUAAUUGGGCAGAUUGAGAGCCUUGAAAUAGAGGUAGGCUGCCUCCCCCAGCCCUUGGGCUGCAGGAUUCAGGCCAGGUGGGGCUUUCUCGUGCUGCUGGGAUGAGGAGGAGCUGCUCUCCAGCCUUGGAAAGCCCAGACCCGAGUGCCUGCUGCCAUCCCUGACAGCCUGACGGGUGGGUGGGCAUGCAGCUCAUGGAGCAGCAUCACCCAGCCCUGGGAUCUGGGCGUGAGGAGGAAGAGGGAGAGCACUGGGCAGCAUCCCGUGGCGUCUCGCAGGGCCCCAGCAGGCUGCUGGCUGCAGGCAUUUAUUUCCCGGGCUCUCUGGUUCCUGUUGCUCUGCAAGGCAAAUCCGCCGUCUCUGGUGAGAUGGCUUCUGACUGAUAUUUAUACAAGCAAAAGCAGGAUCAGGCCUGCCGAAUCGCAGCCUGCUUGUCCCCAUGGAAACAGAUGUGGGAUGCUGCAGAGCAGAUCUCGCAGCUCGAACUCUGCGCGUCGGCCCUCGUCCCCGGCCCCUCGCAGAAGAGCCCUCCAGCAGGAGGGGGGAGCCAGCCCUGAUAUAUCCAUUUUGUCUUUGGAGAGCGAGCCCCUUCUCUUUCGGGGGAAAAAAUGGAAAUGUAAUCAGAUCAGCUUGUAUAGUGCAAAUAGAAAAUCAGUUUUAAUAAAGCCAGAAGAAAUGCAAAGCAGCCGCUUGUGAUGGAAAUGGUGUUAAGUAGACACCUCUUUAAGAAAAAAGCAGCUCCGGGGAUGUUGAUCGGGGAGGCGUUCAGCCUUGGGCUCACUCCUGCAGCUUGCCAAGAGGCAGAACCAGCAGCCCUGGCAGGCGGGAAUGGC